GAAAUGCGAUAAGUAGUGUGAAUUGCAGAAUUCAGUGAAUCAUCGAAUCUUUGAACGCACAUUGCGCCCUUUGGUAUUCCAAAGGGCAUGCCUGUUCGAGCGUCACUUGUACCCUCAAGCUUUGCUUGGUGUUGGGCGUCUUGUCUCUAGCUUUGCUGGAGACUCGCCUUAAAGUAAUUGGCAGCCGGCCUACUGGUUUCGGAGCGCAGCACAAGUCGCACUCUCUAUCAGCAAAGGUCUAGCAUCCAUUAAGCCUUUUUUCAACUUUUGACCUCGGAUCAGGUAGGGAUACCCGCUGAACUUAAGC
Molecule: unclassified non-coding RNA, 307 nt
Filed under: plant metagenome
Description: partial contains 5.8S ribosomal RNA, internal transcribed spacer 2, and large subunit ribosomal RNA
Rfam family: 5.8S ribosomal RNA (bases 1-105)
Source: RNAcentral